This 540-nucleotide unclassified non-coding RNA is filed under the name Hevea brasiliensis (rubber tree). The record is from RNAcentral. Lineage: Eukaryota; Viridiplantae; Streptophyta; Magnoliopsida; Malpighiales; Euphorbiaceae.
AUUAUACCACCAAACAAAUUCUCUGGCAGCGUAUAUGCCAGACAGAUCUUCUCUGGGUAUUCCUAGAGCUUGAUCACUUUCAGCUCCAUAAGAAAGCACCACCGCAUCAUAUAAUUCACGCAGCUCAGCCAAAGAUAUAGAUGCUCCAAGAGAAACAUUCCCAAUGAACGAGCAACGUCUAUUUUGAGCAACCCGAGAAAACUGGUUCGUCACAACCUUUGUUUCAGGAUGAUCAGGAGCCACUCCAGACCUGACUAAUCCAAAUGGCGUAGGUAACCGAUCAACUAUAUCAACUUCAGCUCCCUCGUGAGCUUUCAAAAUCUUAUCGGCAGUAUAGAACCCAGCAGGCCCGCUCCCCACGAUGCAAACACGUAAUGGUUCGGAAGAAACUGUAGAAAAGCUCCUGCAGAAAUUGAGAGCUCUUGAAAGAGCCAUCUCUCCAAUUUUCUCUGUGCCGGCAAUGGAGAAAUUCUGUCUGCUUUGGUGACGGGUUAUGCACACCAGGAGCUUUUAAGAGCUCAAAAAUUGCGAGGAAGAAAG